Molecule: ribosomal RNA, 497 nt
Filed under: uncultured bacterium
Lineage: Bacteria
Description: partial 16S ribosomal RNA
Rfam family: Bacterial small subunit ribosomal RNA
Source: RNAcentral
GAUGAACGCUGGCGGCGUGCCUAAUACAUGCAAGUCGAGCGAAAGGACGAGAAGCUUGCUUCUCGGAUGUUAGCGGCGGGGGGGUGAGUAACACGUGGAUAACCUCCCUAUAAGACUGGGAACAUUUCGGGAAACCGUAGCUAAUACCGUAUAAUCUCUUGCUCCGCAUGGUUCAAAAGAGAAAUACGGUCUUGCUGUAACUUCUAGAGGGAUAUCCGCUGCAUUAGCUGGUUGGUAGGGUAACGGCUUACCACGGCAACGAUGCGUAGCCGACGUGACAGGGUGGUCGGCGACAUGGGAAGUGAGACACGGACAUGGCUCCUACGGGAGGCCGCAGUAGGGAAUCUGACGCAAUGGGCGAGAGUAUGACAGAGCGGCGGGGCGUGAGAGGUGAAAAAGUUCGGAGCGUAAAGCCCGGUUAUGAGUUGAGAACAUAUGUGGAAGGAGCUGUGGAGAGAGUGACGGUACCUAAUCAAGAAGCCCCGGCUAACUACGUG